GUGGCUCCAUGGUAGAGCAUCUGCUCAGCAUGCAGAAGGUCCCAGGUUCAGUUCCUGACAUCUCCU
RNAcentral lists this transfer RNA (66 nucleotides) under Sphaerodactylus townsendi. RNAcentral's name for it is "tRNA-Ala". It matches the Rfam family "tRNA". From Rfam's summary of the family: Transfer RNA (tRNA) molecules are approximately 80 nucleotides in length. Their secondary structure includes four short double-helical elements and three loops (D, anti-codon, and T loops). Lineage: Eukaryota; Metazoa; Chordata; Lepidosauria; Squamata; Sphaerodactylidae. The record is from RNAcentral.